Molecule: transfer RNA, 74 nt
Filed under: Pseudomonadota bacterium
Lineage: Bacteria; Pseudomonadati; Pseudomonadota
Also listed under: 2 other names
Description: tRNA-Arg
Rfam family: tRNA
About the family: Transfer RNA (tRNA) molecules are approximately 80 nucleotides in length. Their secondary structure includes four short double-helical elements and three loops (D, anti-codon, and T loops).
Source: RNAcentral
GCACCCGUAGCUCAACUGGAUAGAGCAAUGGUCUUCGGAACCAUAGGUUACAGGUUCGACUCCUGUCGGGUGUA